UGUGGGAGCGGGCUUGCUCGCGAAAGCGGUGGUUCAGUCGAUAUCAAUGUUGACUGUCAGUCUGCAUUCGCGAGCAAGCCCGCUCCCACA
RNAcentral lists this unclassified non-coding RNA (90 nucleotides) under Pseudomonas cedrina. Lineage: Bacteria; Pseudomonadati; Pseudomonadota; Gammaproteobacteria; Pseudomonadales; Pseudomonadaceae. The record is from RNAcentral.